Molecule: ribosomal RNA, 443 nt
Filed under: uncultured bacterium
Lineage: Bacteria
Description: partial 16S ribosomal RNA
Rfam family: Bacterial small subunit ribosomal RNA
Source: RNAcentral
CCUACGGGAGGCAGCAGUGGGGAAUAUUGGGCAAUGGGCGCAAGCCUGACCCAGCAACGCCGCGUGAAGGAAGAAGGCUUUCGGGUUGUAAACUUCUUUUGUCAGGGACGAAGCAAGUGCCGGUACCUGACGAAUAAGUCACUGCUAACUACGGGCCAGCAGCCUCGGUAAUACGUAGGGGGCAAGCGUUAUCCGGAUUUAUUGGGUGUAAAGGGCGUGUAGGCGGGAAUGCAAGUCAGAUGUGAAAACUAUGGGCUCAACCCAUGGACUGCAUUUGAAACUGUAUUUCUUGAGUGCUGGAGAGGCAAUCGGAAUUCCGGGUGUAGCGGUGAAAUGCGUAGAUAUACGGAGGAACACCAGUGGCGAAGGCGGAUUGCUGGACUGUAACUGACGCUGAGGCGCGAAAGCGUGGGGAGCAAACAGGAUUAGAUACCCCUGUAGUC